Molecule: ribosomal RNA, 305 nt
Filed under: uncultured bacterium
Lineage: Bacteria
Description: bacterial SSU rRNA
Rfam family: Bacterial small subunit ribosomal RNA
Source: RNAcentral
CUGUGCCUACGGGGCGCAGCAGUGGGGAAUAUUGCACAAUGGGGGAAACCCUGAUGCAGCGAUGCCGCGUGGAGGAAGAAGGUUUUCGGAUUGUAAACUCCUUUUAUCAGGGACGAUAAUGACGGUACCUGAAGAAAAAGCUCCGGCUAACUACGUGCCAGCAGCCGCGGUAAUACGUAGGGAGCGAGCGUUGUCCGGAAUUACUGGGUGUAAAGGGAGCGUAGGCGGGACGGCAAGUCAGAUGUGAAAACUGAGGGCUCAACCUUCAGACUGCAUUUGAAACUGUUUUUCUUGAGCGAAGUAGG